RNAcentral lists this ribosomal RNA (497 nucleotides) under uncultured bacterium. RNAcentral's name for it is "partial 16S ribosomal RNA". It matches the Rfam family "Bacterial small subunit ribosomal RNA", at positions 28 to 507 of the family's 1533-position model. The record is from RNAcentral.
GAUGAACGCUGGCGGCGUGCCUAAUACAUGCAAGUCGAGCGAACGGACGAGAAGCUUGCUUUUCUGAUGUUAGCGGCGGACGGGUGAGUAACACGUGGAUAACCUACCUAUAAGACUGGGAUAACUUCGGGAAACCGGAGCUAAUACCGGAUAAUAUUUUGAACCGCAUGGUUCAAAAGUGAAAGACGGUCUUGCUGUCACUUAUAGAUGGAUCCGCGCUGCAUUAGCUAGUUGGUAAGGUAACGGCUUACCAAGGCAACGAUGCAUAGCCGACCUGAGAGGAGGGUCAGUCACACUGGAACUGAGACACGGUACAGACGACUGCGGGAGGCAGCAGUGGGGAAUAUUGGACAAUGGGCGAAAGACUGAAAAAGUAAGGAAGAGUGUGUGAAGAAGGGAUUAGGAUUGUAAAGCACUUUAAGUUGGGAGGAAGGGGAGUAAGAUAACAACUUGCUGUUGUGACGUUACCAAAAGAAUAAGCACCGGCUAACUUCGUG